GCGGCCUAUCAGCUUGUUGGUGAGGUAACGGCUCACCAAGGCUACGACGGGUAACCGGCCUGAGAGGGCGAACGGUCACACUGGGACUGAGGCACGGCCCAGACUCCUACGGGAGGCAGCAGUGGGGAAUAUUGGGCAAUGGGCGGAAGCCUGACCCAGCGACGCCGCGUGAGGGAUGAAGGCCUUCGGGUUGUAAACCUCUUUCAGCAGGGAAGAAGCGAAAGUGACGGUACCUGCAGAAGAAGCACCGGCUAACUAUGUGCCAGCAGCCGCGGUAAUACAUAGGGUGCAAGCGUUGUCCGGAAUUAUUGGGCGUAAAGAGCUCGUAGGUGGCUCGUCACGUCGAAUGUGAAACCCUGAGGCUCAACCUCAGGCCUGCAUCCGAUACGGGCGAACUGGAGUGUGGUAGGGGAGACUGGAAUUCCU
Molecule: ribosomal RNA, 426 nt
Filed under: uncultured Actinomycetes bacterium
Lineage: Bacteria; Bacillati; Actinomycetota; Actinomycetes
Description: bacterial SSU rRNA
Rfam family: Bacterial small subunit ribosomal RNA
Source: RNAcentral